AGGCACUACGGUGCUGAAGCAACAAAUGCCCUGCUUCCAGGAAAAGCCUCUAAGCAUCAGGUAACACGAAAUCGUACCCCAAACCGACACAGGUGGUCAGGUAGAGAAUACCAAGGCGCUUGAGAGAACUCGGGUGAAGGAACUAGGCAAAAUGGUGCCGUAACUUCGGGAGAAGGCACGCUGACACGUAGGUGAAGUGAUUUACUCAUGGAGCUGAAGUCAGUCGAAGAUACCAGCUGGCUGCAACUGUUUAUUAAAAACACAGCACUGUGCAAACACGAAAGUGGACGUAUACGGUGUGACGCCUGCCCGGUGCCGGAAGGUUAAUUGAUGGGGUCAGCGCAAGCGAAGCUCCUGAUCGAAGCCCCGGUAAACGGCGGCCGUAACUAUAACGGUCCUAAGGUAGCGAAAUUCCUUGUCGGGUAAGUUCCGACCUGCACGAAUGGCGUAAUGAUGGCCAGGCUGUCUCCACCCGAGACUCAGUGAAAUUGAACUCGCUGUGAAGAUGCAGUGUACCCGCGGCAAGACGGAAAGACCCCGUGAACCUUUACUAUAGCUUGACACUGAACAUUGAGCCUUGAUGUGUAGGAUAGGUGGGAGGCUUUGAAGUGUGGACGCCAGUCUGCAUGGAGCCGACCUUGAAAUACCACCCUUUAAUGUUUGAUGUUCUAACGUGGACCCGUAAUCCGGGUUGCGGACAGUGUCUGGUGGGUAGUUUGACUGGGGCGGUCUCCUCCUAAAGAGUAACGGAGGAGCACGAAGGUUGGCUAAUCCUGGUCGGACAUCAGGAGGUUAGUGCAAUGGCAUAAGCCAGCUUGACUGCGAGCGUGACGGCGCGAGCAGGUGCGAAAGCAGGUCAUAGUGAUCCGGUGGUUCUGAAUGGAAGGGCCAUCGCUCAACGGAUAAAAGGUACUCCGGGGAUAACAGGCUGAUACCGCCCAAGAGUUCAUAUCGACGGCGGUGUUUGGCACCUCGAUGUCGGCUCAUCACAUCCUGGGGCUGAAGUAGGUCCCAAGGGUAUGGCUGUUCGCCAUUUAAAGUGGUACGCGAGCUGGGUUUAGAACGUCGUGAGACAGUUCGGUCCCUAUCUGCCGUGGGCGCUGGAGAACUGAGGGGGGCUGCUCCUAGUACGAGAGGACCGGAGUGGACGCAUCACUGGUGUUCGGGUUGUCAUGCCAAUGGCACUGCCCGGUAGCUAAAUGCGGAAGAGAUAAGUGCUGAAAGCAUCUAAGCACGAAACUUGCCCCGA
Molecule: ribosomal RNA, 1249 nt
Filed under: Salmonella enterica
Lineage: Bacteria; Pseudomonadati; Pseudomonadota; Gammaproteobacteria; Enterobacterales; Enterobacteriaceae
Also listed under: 1 other name
Description: partial 23S ribosomal RNA
Rfam family: Bacterial large subunit ribosomal RNA
Source: RNAcentral